RNAcentral lists this ribosomal RNA (488 nucleotides) under uncultured bacterium. RNAcentral describes it as "bacterial SSU rRNA". It matches the Rfam family "Bacterial small subunit ribosomal RNA", at positions 28 to 509 of the family's 1533-position model. The record is from RNAcentral.
GAUGAACGCUAGCGACAGGCCUAACACAUGCAAGUCGAGGGGCAGCACAUGAGUAGCAAUACGAUGGUGGCGACCGGCGCACGGGUGAGUAACACGUAUGCAACCUGCCUUCUACUAUGGGAUAACCCGUUGAAAGACGGACUAAUACCGUAUAAUACAGGGGCUCCGCAUGGAGAUAUUUGUUAAAGAUUUAUUGGUAGAAGAUGGGCAUGCGUAUGAUUAGAUAGUUGGUGAGGUAACGGCUCACCAAGUCAACGAUCAUUAGGGGUUCUGAGAGGAAGGUCCCCCACACUGGUACUGAGACACGGACCAGACUCCUACGGGAGGCAGCAGUGAGGAAUAUUGGUCAAUGGGCGAGAGCCUGAACCAGCCAAGUCGCGUGAAGGAGAAGGUUCUAUGGAUUGUAAACUUCUUUUGCAGGGGAAUAAAGGACGGUACGUGUACUGUUUUGAUGUACCUUGCGAAUAAGGAUCGGCUAACUCCGUGCC